This 403-nucleotide ribosomal RNA is filed under the name uncultured Mycobacterium sp. RNAcentral describes it as "bacterial SSU rRNA". It matches the Rfam family "Bacterial small subunit ribosomal RNA", at positions 167 to 584 of the family's 1533-position model. Lineage: Bacteria; Bacillati; Actinomycetota; Actinomycetes; Mycobacteriales; Mycobacteriaceae. The record is from RNAcentral.
UACCGGAUAGGACUACGCGAUGCAUGUCGUGUGGUGGAAAGCUUUUGCGGUGUGGGAUGGGCCCGCGGCCUAUCAGCUUGUUGGUGGGGUGAUGGCCUACCAAGGCGACGACGGGUAGCCGGCCUGAGAGGGUGUCCGGCCACACUGGGACUGAGAUACGGCCCAGACUCCUACGGGAGGCAGCAGUGGGGAAUAUUGCACAAUGGGCGCAAGCCUGAUGCAGCGACGCCGCGUGAGGGAUGACGGCCUUCGGGUUGUAAACCUCUUUCACUAGGGACGAAGCGCAAGUGACGGUACCUAGAGAAGAAGCACCGGCCAACUACGUGCCAGCAGCCGCGGUAAUACGUAGGGUGCGAGCGUUGUCCGGAAUUACUGGGCGUAAAGAGCUCGUAGGUGGUUUGUC